This is a long non-coding RNA of Mastomys coucha (southern multimammate mouse), 563 nucleotides long. RefSeq lists it as uncharacterized. The record is from RefSeq and is a predicted model, not a curated record. Lineage: Eukaryota; Metazoa; Chordata; Mammalia; Rodentia; Muridae. The transcript is spliced from 3 exons.
UAUUUUAGGAAGCUAAAAGUUUAGAAUGUAACCCACUGGAGUCAGCUGACUUAAUAGAACAUGCAGAGGUUCAUAAAAACUCUGCCGAUGAUAGAAACAAGAGAAAGUCUGACGGUAUCAGAGGGAAAGGACACCAAAGCAUAGAGAUCAAGAAGCCUCUCAGGAAUGAAUGGUAAUUCAGAAGGAACAACCAGUUCAAGCUGGUUGGUCAGUUUGAAGAAAGCCAGAAGAUUUGAUUGUCCCAGAACUGUUGUGUGGCAUGUCCUGAGCAGGUUUUGCGGAGCCAGUCCAUCAAUAAGGGGUGACCUAGUGGAGAUAAAAAGCCUAAAAGCCUUUGCCUUUCAGCCAGAAGUUCUCAACCUGUGGGUCAAAACCCCCACCCUAGUCACCUAUCAGAUAUCCUGCAUGUCAGAUUUGGUUCUCUGUAUAUUCAAUUAGAGAAGCACAUGGUCUGGAAUCUUCUCAAGAAAUCAGCCACAACUGGGACCAGCAGGACCAGGCACACAGCAAGUCUGGCAGUCCAGUGACUCGGGUUCAUUCUGGUCUGUCUGGGUUAGUGUUCU